CCUACGGGUGGCAGCAGUCGGGAAUAUUGCGCAAUGGAGGAAACUCUGACGCUGUGACGCCGCGUAUAGGAAGAAGUUUUUCGGAAUGUAAACUAUUGUCGUUAGGGAAGAGAAAGGACAGUAUCUAAGCAGGAAGCUCCGGCUAACUCCGUGCCAGCAGCCGCGGUAAUACGUAGGGAGCGAGCGUUAUCCGGAAUUAUUGGGUGUAAAGGGUGCGUAGACGGGAAAGCAAGUUAGUUGUGAAAUCCCUCGGCUUAACUGAGGAACUGCAAGUAAAACUAUGUUUCUUGAGUGAAGGAGAGGGAAGUGGAAUUCCUGGUGUAGCGGUGAAAUGCGUAGAUGUUAGGAGGAACACCAGUGGCGAAGGCGACUUACUGGACUGUAACUGACGUUGAGGCACGAAAGUGUGGGGAGCAAACGGGAUUAGAUACCCCGGUAGUC
RNAcentral lists this ribosomal RNA (441 nucleotides) under uncultured bacterium. RNAcentral's name for it is "partial 16S ribosomal RNA". It matches the Rfam family "Bacterial small subunit ribosomal RNA", at positions 338 to 795 of the family's 1533-position model. The record is from RNAcentral.